RNAcentral lists this ribosomal RNA (1061 nucleotides) under Staphylococcus aureus. RNAcentral's name for it is "partial 23S ribosomal RNA". It matches the Rfam family "Bacterial large subunit ribosomal RNA", at positions 328 to 1397 of the family's 2925-position model. Lineage: Bacteria; Bacillati; Bacillota; Bacilli; Caryophanales; Staphylococcaceae. The record is from RNAcentral.
AUUAGACGAAUCAUCUGGAAAGAUGAAUCAAAGAAGGUAAUAAUCCUGUAGUCGAAAAUGUUGUCUCUCUUGAGUGGAUCCUGAGUACGACGGAGCACGUGAAAUUCCGUCGGAAUCUGGGAGGACCAUCUCCUAAGGCUAAAUACUCUCUAGUGACCGAUAGUGAACCAGUACCGUGAGGGAAAGGUGAAAAGCACCCCGGAAGGGGAGUGAAAUAGAACCUGAAACCGUGUGCUUACAAGUAGUCAGAGCCCGUUAAUGGGUGAUGGCGUGCCUUUUGUAGAAUGAACCGGCGAGUUACGAUUUGAUGCAAGGUUAAGCAGUAAAUGUGGAGCCGUAGCGAAAGCGAGUCUGAAUAGGGCGUUUAGUAUUUGGUCGUAGACCCGAAACCAGGUGAUCUACCCUUGGUCAGGUUGAAGUUCAGGUAACACUGAAUGGAGGACCGAACCGACUUACGUUGAAAAGUGAGCGGAUGAACUGAGGGUAGCGGAGAAAUUCCAAUCGAACCUGGAGAUAGCUGGUUCUCUCCGAAAUAGCUUUAGGGCUAGCCUCAAGUGAUGAUUAUUGGAGGUAGAGCACUGUUUGGACGAGGGGCCCCUCUCGGGUUACCGAAUUCAGACAAACUCCGAAUGCCAAUUAAUUUAACUUGGGAGUCAGAACAUGGGUGAUAAGGUCCGUGUUCGAAAGGGAAACAGCCCAGACCACCAGCUAAGGUCCCAAAAUAUAUGUUAAGUGGAAAAGGAUGUGGCGUUGCCCAGACAACUAGGAUGUUGGCUUAGAAGCAGCCAUCAUUUAAAGAGUGCGUAAUAGCUCACUAGUCGAGUGACACUGCGCCGAAAAUGUACCGGGGCUAAACAUAUUACCGAAGCUGUGGAUUGUCCUUUGGACAAUGGUAGGAGAGCGUUCUAAGGGCGUUGAAGCAUGAUCGUAAGGACAUGUGGAGCGCUUAGAAGUGAGAAUGCCGGUGUGAGUAGCGAAAGACGGGUGAGAAUCCCGUCCACCGAUUGACUAAGGUUUCCAGAGGAAGGCUCGUCCGCUCUGGGUUAGUCGGGUCCUAAGCU